Molecule: ribosomal RNA, 316 nt
Filed under: Pholcidae sp. Dominican Republic GH2
Lineage: Eukaryota; Metazoa; Arthropoda; Arachnida; Araneae; Pholcidae
Description: partial 12S ribosomal RNA
Source: RNAcentral
AGGUAAUAAUAAAAAAUAAAACCUAUUUAAUUUGGCAGUUAAUAAAUCUUAGAGAAGCUUGUUUUAUAAUCGACAAUACUCGAUAACUUUUACUUUAACAUAUAAAAAUUUAUAUACCGCCGUCUUAAGGAUAAUUUUAAAUAAUAUACCAAAAAAAACAAUUUUAAAUAAUCAGGUCAAGGUGUAAUCCAUUUUAAAGAAAAAAUUAGCCACAUAUAAAAAUAAUUUAUGAAACAUAAUUAAAACAAAAUUGAGAAAUAGAAUCUAAAUUCAAAAAACAAUUAACAUAUAUAUUCGAAAUUAAAUUUAUUAAUGU